CUCUUUUUAGAUAGAUAAAUUUAUCAUAUUUACAAGUAGUACUCAUACGCCGGGUUAACAAUAACAAUCUACGUCACAUGCUAGAUGCAGUACAGUUUCGUACAAGCCAAGCACAAACCUCACCCAUCAAGACUGAAAGAGAUGAGGAUUGAGGUCGUGUAGUUCGAUAAGACGUGGCAGAGAAUGGUUUGAGAGUUUGGUCUUAUUCAAUCAGAUCGGAAGGAAUC
Molecule: long non-coding RNA, 227 nt
Filed under: Jatropha curcas
Lineage: Eukaryota; Viridiplantae; Streptophyta; Magnoliopsida; Malpighiales; Euphorbiaceae
Description: long non-coding RNA (JCUR_LNC000003)
Source: RNAcentral